GAGUAACACGUGGGUAACCUGCCCAUCAGAAGGGGAUAACACUUGGAAACAGGUGCUAAUACCGUAUAACAAUCGAAACCGCAUGGUUUUGAUUUGAAAGGCGCUUUCGGGUGUCGCUGAUGGAUGGACCCGCGGUGCAUUAGCUAGUUGGUGAGGUAACGGCUCACCAAGGCCACGAUGCAUAGCCGACCUGAGAGGGUGAUCGGCCACAUUGGGACUGAGACACGGCCCAAACUCCUACGGGAGGCAGCAGUAGGGAAUCUUCGGCAAUGGACGAAAGUCUGACCGAGCAACGCCGCGUGAGUGAAGAAGGUUUUCGGAUCGUAAAACUCUGUUGUUAGAGAAGAACAAGGAUGAGAGUAACUGUUCAUCCCUUGACGGUAUCUAACCAGAAAGCCACGGCUAACUACGUGCCAGCAGCCGCGGUAAUACGUAGGUGGCAAGCGUUGUCCGGAUUUAUUGGGCGUAAAGCGAGCGCAGGCGGUUUCUUAAGUCUGAUGU
RNAcentral lists this ribosomal RNA (501 nucleotides) under Enterococcus faecium. RNAcentral describes it as "bacterial SSU rRNA". It matches the Rfam family "Bacterial small subunit ribosomal RNA", at positions 108 to 595 of the family's 1533-position model. The record is from RNAcentral. Lineage: Bacteria; Bacillati; Bacillota; Bacilli; Lactobacillales; Enterococcaceae.